GGCUCAGAACGAACGCUGGCGGCGUGCCUAACACAUGCAAGUCGAACGAGAAGUACGUAGCAAUACGUAUUGUAAAGUGGCGCACGGGUGAGUAACACGUGGGUAAUCUGCCCUUGAGUUUGGGAUAACCCCGCGAAAGCGGGGCUAAUACCGGAUAAGACCACGGGGACCAAAGUCCCUGAGGUAAAAGAUGGCCUCUAUUUAUAAGCUAUCACUUAAGGAUGAGCCCGCGGCCCAUUAGCUAGUUGGUAGGGUAACGGCCUACCAAGGCUAUGAUGGGUAGCUGGUCUGAGAGGACGAUCAGCCACACUGGAACUGAGACACGGUCCAGACUCCUACGGGAGGCAGCAGUGGGGAAUAUUGCGCAAUGGGCGAAAGCCUGACGCAGCAACGCCGCGUGGGGGAUGAAGGUUCUCGGAUUGUAAACCCCUUUCGACCGGAACGAAUCUCCUCCUGGUAAAUAAUCAGGAGGAUCGACGGUACCGGGAGAAGAAGCCACGGCUAACUCUGUGCCAGCAGCCGCGGUAAGACAGAGGUGGCGAGCGUUGUUCGGAUUUAUUGGGCGUAAAGCGAACGCAGGCGGUUUGGUAAGUCAGAGGUGAAAGCCCACAGCUUAACUGUGGCACUGCCUUUGAUACUGCCUUUCUUGAGUAGAGUAGGGGGAAGCGGAAUUCCGAGUGUAGAGGUGAAAUUCGUAGAUAUUCGGAGGAACACCGGUGGCGAAGGCGGCUUCCUGGACUCUAACUGACGCUCAUGUUCGAAAGCGUGGGUAGCAAACAGGAUUAGAUACCCUGGUAGUCCACGCCCUAAACGAUGGGCACUAGGUGUGGGAGGUAUCGACCCCUUCCGUGCCGCAGCUAACGCAUUAAGUGCCCCGCCUGGGGAGUACGGCCGCAAGGUUGAAACU
Molecule: ribosomal RNA, 907 nt
Filed under: uncultured bacterium
Lineage: Bacteria
Description: bacterial SSU rRNA
Rfam family: Bacterial small subunit ribosomal RNA
Source: RNAcentral